This 378-nucleotide ribosomal RNA is filed under the name uncultured cyanobacterium. RNAcentral's name for it is "bacterial SSU rRNA". It matches the Rfam family "Bacterial small subunit ribosomal RNA", at positions 376 to 770 of the family's 1533-position model. The record is from RNAcentral. Lineage: Bacteria; Bacillati; Cyanobacteriota.
CGCAAGCCUGACGGAGCCAGACCGCGUGGGGGAGGAAGGCCCUUGGGUUGUAAACCCCUUUUCUCAGGGAAGAAACCUGACGGUCCCUGAGGAAAAAGCCUCGGCUAACUCCGUGCCAGCAGCCGCGGUAAUACGGAGGAGGCAAGCGUUAUCCGGAAUUACUGGGCGUAAAGCGUUCGUAGGGGGCUCGUCAAGUCUGCUGUCAAAGCUCGGAGCUCAACUCCGAAGGGGCAGUGGAAACUGGGGAGCUAGAGGGCGGCAGGGGCAGAAGGAAUUCCCGGUGUAGCGGUGAAAUGCGUAGAGAUCGGGAAGAACACCGGUGGCGAAAGCGCUCUGCUGGGCCGCACCUGACCCUCAGGGACGAAAGCCAGGGGAGCG